UCUGGUCCUUGUGUGCCCGCCGCCGCGGUAAUACGGCCGGUCCGGGCGUUAUCCGGAUUUAUUGGGUUUAAAGGGAGCGUAGGCCGGAGAUUAAGCGUGUUGUGAAAUGUAGACGCUCAACGUCUGCACUGCAGCGCGAACUGGUUUCCUUGAGUACGCACAAAGUGGGCGGAAUUCGUGGUGUAGCGGUGAAAUGCUUAGAUAUCACGAAGAACUCCGAUUGCGAAGGCAGCUCACUGGAGCGCAACUGACGCUGAAGCUCGAAAGUGCGGGUAUCGAACAGG
This 284-nucleotide ribosomal RNA is filed under the name Segatella copri DSM 18205. RNAcentral's name for it is "Prevotella copri DSM 18205 partial 16S ribosomal RNA". It matches the Rfam family "Bacterial small subunit ribosomal RNA", at positions 492 to 776 of the family's 1533-position model. The record is from RNAcentral. Lineage: Bacteria; Pseudomonadati; Bacteroidota; Bacteroidia; Bacteroidales; Prevotellaceae.